This is a long non-coding RNA of Armigeres subalbatus, 389 nucleotides long. RefSeq lists it as uncharacterized. NCBI's taxonomy places the organism in Eukaryota, Metazoa, Arthropoda, Insecta, Diptera, Culicidae. The transcript has 3 exons. The record is from RefSeq and is a predicted model, not a curated record.
CAUAGUCAUUAUACUGUUAAGCUAACCGCACUGACCGCACUACCCAGCAGACAACAACAAUCCAGUUUUUUUAUUUAUUCACUGGCCUGAACCGAAAAGAGGAACCCCGUAGGAAUCGAUGGGAUGUUGAUCCAAAAAACUCUUUAAGCUAAUGUCUCUAUCGUUCUUGGUCCUGAAAGUUCCAGAAAAAUAUUCGGCGCCCCAAUCGAGCAGGAAUUUUAUGGCGCAAUGUCCACAGAAGGCAAUGGUGCGCAUUCUCACCCUGGCCAGGGGCUGGCAUCCUAGAUAUAUGUACAAAAGUGGCCACUGCCCACCGUGUUAUGCAUGGGAGAUGCUGCAGCUUACACCGUGUUAGUAAAGAAAAUGUUUAAAAUAAAAACUUAAAGCUA